AAAAGUUGAAAGACAUCUCCGUUCUUCUAAACCCAUUUUCUUCCCCAAACUAUUUUCCCCCCAAAUCUUUCCUUCCCUCUCUCCAUCUCCUCUCCUCAACCCCACCGUGAGCCCGCCACCGUCAACCACUCCCGAGCCCGCCACCGUCGACCACUCACGAGCCCGACACCGUCGACCACUCACGAGCCGCCACUGUGCGUUCUCCAUCUCCGGACAAAAGUCGCCGUCCGUUCUCCAUCUCCGGUUCGGCUCCGAAGAAUCCGACGACCCAACCACUGUACCGCCACGAGCAGCCCCAGACGAACCACCACCACAGCCGCCGCCGACGAGCCCAUCCACCGAAUUGGAGGGACAAAGUUGGCUGAGAUUUGGGCUCCCACAGUUCCGGCGACCAUUUCCCUCAUUUCCGGCACCGGUACCGAUCUCCUCCAUUUACGGAGAAAUUUGUGGAGGUUCACAUCUCCCACAUACUUGGGUAAUUGACUGGAUGGCAGUGAGACAGAGAGCGGUGGCAACGCUGCCCAGCCUCAUUCGGAGCCUCCGAAAGGAGUCCCCAAAGCCCACGAACCCAUCGGCGUUGCCGUCACUGCGACGCGCUUUCUCCCUCUACGAUCAGAUCAAUCUCAUCGACAACGUCCCCGAAGACCAGCUCCGCUUCCAACGGUAUACGGAAACGGGGUUCACUGUAAAUGGCGUUGAUUAUGAAGGUGGAUUGCUUUGUGUGGGGAACAUGUUAAUGUCUUGGGCUCCAAAGAAAUUCCCAGAGGUCACCCCAGAUAGCUUGAAGAAGAAUAUGGGGUUCGCCACACACCUGAGUCUGACAUUUCAUCUUCUUUAUGCUGUGGUGCAGCUUAUCUAUCUUCCAAAUUGUGCGGCCUAUACCAGAGAUUCUGAUCCUUGGCUGUGGGAGGAACAUUGAAGUAAUAGAUCCUGAACUUCGGCGCUUCAUUCGGUCUACUGGCAUGAAGUUAGAAGCCCUUGACUCGAGAAAUGCUGUGUCCACUUACAACAUACUGAAUGAGGAGGGUAGGGUUGUGGCUGCUGCGCUUCUUCCAUAUGGGGUUUCUUCUUGAUGCCUAGAUCCAGCAUGUGAUAUGCUUUUCAUUGUCAGCUUAUACAAGAUCCCAUUUCAGUUUAAACUAUUCAAACUCCCUUGUCCUUUUAACGAGUACUAUUGCACUUGUAAAGGAAGAUAAGUUUUGGCUCAUGUGAAUAAGUUGGAAGUUGGAUGGUCCAUAAUUGUAGAUCUUUAUGCAUUUCUGCAUUUCUUGUGUUACUACUUCUGUAUUUCUUCUUUGGAGCAGGUCUGCUCAAGUUGGCCUAGAGCUUUUAAGCAUUGUCUUCUACAUGGUCUCUUGAAUUUUCUGUGUAGUUAAAUAAAUAAAUAAAUAAUGAUAGAGAAAAUGUCUAUGAUUUGGCAAAAUAGCCGACAUCAUAGUUAUUAAUUUAUUUA
Alnus glutinosa is the source of this 1453-nucleotide RNA transcript. RefSeq lists it as uncharacterized. NCBI's taxonomy places the organism in Eukaryota, Viridiplantae, Streptophyta, Magnoliopsida, Fagales, Betulaceae. The record is from RefSeq and is a predicted model, not a curated record. The transcript has 7 exons.